GAUGAACGCUGGCGGCGUGCCUAAUACAUGCAAGUCGAGCGAACGGACGAGAAGCUUGCUUCUCUGAUGUUAGCGGCGGACGGGUGAGUAACACGUGGAUAACCUACCUAUAAGACUGGGAUAACUUCGGGAAACCGGAGCUAAUACCGGAUAAUAUUUUGAACCGCAUGGUUCAAAAGUGAAAGACGGUCUUGCUGUCACUUAUAGAUGGAUCCGCGCUGCAUUAGCUAGUUGGUAAGGUAACGGCUUACCAAGGCAACGAUGCAUAGCCGACCUGAGAGGGUGAUCGGCCACACUGGAACUGAGACACGGUCCAGACUCCUACGGGAGGCAGCAGUAGGGAAUCUUCCGCAAUGGGCGAAAGCCUGACGGAGCAACGCCGCGUGAGUGAUGAAGGUCCUCGGAUCGUAAAACUCUGUUAUUAGUGAAGAACAUAUGUGUAAGUAACUGUGCACAUCUUGACGGUACCUAAUCAGAAAGCCACGGCUAACUACGUG
RNAcentral lists this ribosomal RNA (497 nucleotides) under uncultured bacterium. RNAcentral's name for it is "partial 16S ribosomal RNA". It matches the Rfam family "Bacterial small subunit ribosomal RNA", at positions 28 to 507 of the family's 1533-position model. The record is from RNAcentral.